This 209-nucleotide long non-coding RNA is filed under the name Mytilus galloprovincialis (Mediterranean mussel). Lineage: Eukaryota; Metazoa; Mollusca; Bivalvia; Mytilida; Mytilidae. The record is from RNAcentral.
CACAGAAGUGCUGGCAACUGAGCUUGUGGUACCUUGUGGUAAAAACAUGCACAAGCACUAGCAUCGACCCAUUGGUUGUAAGAAAAACUCGUCAUAGAAACCAGGAUAAAAAAACUUCACCUAUAUUUUCAUUUAAAACUGUAAUCCAAAUGUACACUUCUUAAAAUGUAAACAACAGGCAGUUGUCUGCAUAAUAUGUCCUGCCACCG